UACGGAGGGUGCAAGCGUUAAUCGGAAUUACUGGGCGUAAAGCGCGCGUAGGUUGCUGGUUAAGCGAGAUGUGAAAGCCCCGGGCUCAACCUGGGAAUUGCAUUUCGAACUGGCCAGCUAGAGUACAGUAGAGGGUGGUGGAAUUUCCUGUGUGGCGGUGAAAUGCGUAGAGAUGGGAAGGAACAUCAGUGGCGAAGGCGACCACCUGGACUGAUACUGACACUGAGGUGCGAAUGCGUGGGGAGCAAACAGG
Molecule: ribosomal RNA, 253 nt
Filed under: uncultured bacterium
Lineage: Bacteria
Description: partial 16S ribosomal RNA
Rfam family: Bacterial small subunit ribosomal RNA
Source: RNAcentral